This 255-nucleotide ribosomal RNA is filed under the name uncultured bacterium. Its description in RNAcentral is "partial 16S ribosomal RNA". It matches the Rfam family "Bacterial small subunit ribosomal RNA", at positions 526 to 779 of the family's 1533-position model. The record is from RNAcentral.
CGGAAGGUGCAAGCGUUAAUCGGAAUCACUGGGCGUAAAGCGCUCGUAGGUUGCUUUGUAAGUCAGGUGUGAAAUCCCACGGCUCAACCGUGGAAUUGCACUUGAUACUGCAUUGCUUGAGUUCGGGAGAGGGUAGUGGAAUUCCAGGUGUAGGAGUGAAAUCCGUAGAGAUCUGGAGGAACACCGGUGGCGAAGGCGACUACCUGGACCGAUACUGACACUGAGGAGCGAAAGCGUGGGGGAGCAAACAGGAUU